This 76-nucleotide transfer RNA is filed under the name Perkinsus olseni. Its description in RNAcentral is "tRNA-Arg". It matches the Rfam family "tRNA". From Rfam's summary of the family: Transfer RNA (tRNA) molecules are approximately 80 nucleotides in length. Their secondary structure includes four short double-helical elements and three loops (D, anti-codon, and T loops). Further hydrogen bonds mediate the characteristic L-shaped molecular structure. tRNAs have two regions of fundamental functional importance: the anti-codon, which is responsible for specific mRNA codon recognition, and the 3' end, to which the tRNAs corresponding amino acid is attached (by aminoacyl-tRNA synthetases). tRNAs cope with the degeneracy of the genetic code in two manners: having more than one tRNA (with a specific anti-codon) for a particular amino acid; and 'wobble' base-pairing, i.e. permitting non-standard base-pairing at the 3rd anti-codon position. Lineage: Eukaryota; Perkinsozoa; Perkinsida; Perkinsidae. The record is from RNAcentral.
GCCCGAUUAGUUCAGCUGGAUAGAAUGUCUGCCUACGGGAGCACGUUGGUCGUAGGUUCGAAUCCUGCAUCGGGUA